GUCAGUUACCCCGGGCUUUUCAGCCAGGGUUGAACCUCCUUAGCCCUGGACCAGAGAGCCCAUCAGAGUUCUUGUAAGAGGUGGCAUUUCCAGAACACUGGACAGCCAUGGGCAGCGUUAGGCUGCAUGUCCCCCAGCUGGAGUUAUAGUGAACCCCGGACUCCUGGAGUCCCCUUUGGCAGGUGUCCUGCCCUGGUUCCCACAGUCUUGAGGGUCAUGGUUCUGAGCAGAUGCAAUCUAUCCUGCCCAUUCAGCCCAGGGAGGAGUGAAACUGCUGAUGUGACAGGUAUGGAGGGAAAGCCGUCCCUUGUUGGGGAAGACGUCAGAGCUAAACCUUUUCAUUCUCCUCCUCGCUGCUCUGUGACCUCAGUGAGAUGGACAGGGAGACAGGCUGUCAGGUCGUGUUCCUCCUCCUUCUGCUGGCCUCCCAGUGCUAGCCUCUAGAGAGGGGCCAGCUGGCCUGGCUACGUCUGAGAAGCAAAAACUGGGUGCUGGCAGGGUGGAAAGAGAUCAGGUUAGAAGCUGGGUCCUUGAGCUCCAAGCCACCUUAGAGCUUGUGGGUUAACACAGUCAGGGCACCAGGUGAGGAAUCCAAAGUCCUGGGGUUUUAGAUGCUUGCUGAGUGUCACUUACCCUUCCUGAACCUGUUUCUUCAUCUGUAAAAUGGGGGCAGUAGAACCUCUCCUGCUCAUCUCACUUAGUGCCAAGUUAGAGUAAAUGAAAGCUUUAAAAAGUCAGUGAGUAACCCCCAGAAAUAAGCCCUUCCUUUGUCCUCAUCCUCCUGAUGUGUCCUGGCAUCCCGGCUGCUGAGGGAGGGGUGGGCUCCCAUCUGGGAGAGGUCCGUGUAGGUGAGCCCUGGGGCCACCAUUUGCCUCCCUCCUUUCUACACACAGCCACUAUGCCAGGCACCAUUCAGAGAAGAAAGGAACCUCGCCCUAGUUUCAGGAACGGACUUCCUAUUCCCAGCUCUGGAGUAUGACUGUCAGAUUUCGGAGGAAGCGAACUUUGAGAGGACACAGCCUAUCUCCCAUGUGCCUGACUGAUAAACUCUAGCACAGACAAGAGAUCUUUCUGGACCUUUCAGGCCUAAACAGACUGAACACCAGCUGAGCAGCUGGGGACAGGAGCAGCCCAGCUCCGCAUUGUGGUCCUGUCUCUCACUGAAGCGUCUUACUGUGACAGGGGCACUGGCAUCUUGGGCUCCCGGGAGACCAGGCUGCUUUUUAGCACGAGAUCACACUGGGGUCAGCCACAACUCCCCACGCUAGAGAAACUCACCUCUGACUUUAACUCUCCAGCUUUUUACUCUACUAAGCAAGAAAUGGGUACUUUUUUCACUGAGGAAUGACUGCUGAGCCCUGCCCAGCUGCAUUAAGCUCUGUGAUUUAAUGACUCUCCUGUUUAAUGGAAGGAAAAGCCUAAGUGGCCCCAGCUGCCAGCAGCUCUGCUAACAGGCGGGAACUCUCUGAGCAGGCUGGCAGUAGCACGGCUGCUCUGCAGCCAUCCGCCCCUCGCCCGCCCUUGUCACAGGCUUGUUGUGACAGCACCGGGGAGCUGUCCCACCAGAAGAGCAGCAGUGUGGCUUCUCUCCUCACAUCCCCGGCUGCAGCAAGUUCACGGCUAGGAAGAAACAAUCCAGCAUUGUCUUGCUCAAGACGGCUUGGCCUCUGCCAAGAAGAAACAAAAGAGAUUUUCUGAGCGUGUGCCCUUGUGUUACUAGGGCUCCUCAGUCACCUCCUGUCCAGCUAUGGGUGACAAAGGUGCCCACUAGGGACUCUCGCAGGGCCAGAGCCCACCUCGGAGCCUCUGCCUGGACGGCAGCCCUUGCGCAGCCCUGAAAUCUACCUGCCCAGUGGCCGGCUCUACCCUGUCCUUCCUCAGGCGAAUAUUAUAAGGACAUCAGCCUCCUCUGAAGGUCUGAGAAGACUGGGCCCCAGGGACCCGCCUGUCAGCAUUUCCAGAGUUCCUGCUGUGAGCGCUCACUGAAUGUCCUUCUCCUGUAUAUGUGGCUUCUUGGAGCUGUUUGCCUCAGGAAAGCCACACAUCUCUCCAGAACUAAGAACUAGACACCAGCAACGGACAGGCAGAUGCCUGAGGGAUUGCCCCAGGAAGUCCAAGCCCUGAUCAACCUGGGGGAAUGAGAGGGUGAGAAAAACAAGGGUCUUGCAGCCUUGCUGCUGCCGCGAGGGCAGUGGAGCAGUGAAGGGUGACUCCGCUGUGUAGUCAAGUCUUCUUCCCACCGCUGGUGAAGUGCAAACCAUUCCCUCAUCCCUAAAUCCAUUUUGGGGACAAGCUGCCCAUCCGACUUCUGUAAUGCUAGCUAUUAAAGAUUAAGAACUUGG
This is a long non-coding RNA of Nycticebus coucang (slow loris), 2342 nucleotides long. RefSeq lists it as uncharacterized. The transcript has 2 exons. NCBI's taxonomy places the organism in Eukaryota, Metazoa, Chordata, Mammalia, Primates, Lorisidae. The record is from RefSeq and is a predicted model, not a curated record.